UCGGGAAUUUUGGGCAAUGGGCGAAAGCCUGACCCAGCAACGCCGCGUGAGGGAUGAAGUAUUUCGGUAUGUAAACCUCGAAAGAAUGGGAAGAAUAAAUGACGGUACCAUUUAUAAGCUCCGGCUAACUACGUGCCAGCAGCCGCGGUAAUACGUAGGGAGCAAGCGUUGUUCGGAUUUACUGGGCGUACAGGGCGCGUAGGCGGCGCGGUAAGUCACUUGUGAAAUCUCUGAGCUUAACUCAGAACGGCCAAGUGAUACUGCUGUGCUAGAGUGCGGAAGAGGCGACCGGAAUUCUUGGUGUAGCGGUGAAAUGCGUAGAUAUCAAGAGGAACACCUGAGGCGAAGGCGGGUUGCUGGGCCGACACUGACGCUGAUGCGCGAAAGCCAGGGGAGCAAACG
This 402-nucleotide ribosomal RNA is filed under the name uncultured bacterium. RNAcentral's name for it is "bacterial SSU rRNA". It matches the Rfam family "Bacterial small subunit ribosomal RNA", at positions 355 to 774 of the family's 1533-position model. The record is from RNAcentral.